RNAcentral lists this non-coding RNA (71 nucleotides) under Pongo abelii (Sumatran orangutan). The record is from RNAcentral. Lineage: Eukaryota; Metazoa; Chordata; Mammalia; Primates; Hominidae.
UGAUCAGCGAGACGUGCAGCCGCACCGGGACGUUCCUGUCUUUGAAGGCGGUGGUGAUGAAGCAGCCGAAG